Molecule: long non-coding RNA, 756 nt
Organism: Caretta caretta (loggerhead turtle)
Lineage: Eukaryota; Metazoa; Chordata; Testudines; Cheloniidae
Source: RefSeq, a predicted model, not a curated record
GUCAUGAUUCAUUCACGAUCUGGUUGCCCCAUCUCAAAGAAGAUAUAUUGGAAUUGGAAAAGGUACAGAGAAGCACAAGAAUGACUGGGGGUAUGGAACAGCUCCCAUGUGAGCAAGUUGCAGGACAUCCAGAAGAAGUUGUUGGAAAGAUGCAAGUUGGAGAUGACCAAGAGAGACUUGAGUCUCAACAAUAACAGAUUAAGCGUAUAGUGAAAUAGGGAGGACUGAGGAUGGAGCCCUGGGUGACAAUCAUAGAAGGAGGGUAGAAGGAAGAAGAGGAUCUACUAAAGCUAACACAGAAGAUGUAAUCAACUAAAUAAGAGAACCAAUAAAGGAAAGAGUCACAGAAAGCCAGGGAUGAGAAAGCAUCAAGAAGAAGUGGGCGUUUCGGGAUAUUUAUGGAAGAUUGACAAGAAUGAAUAUAAAGAAGUGACCCUUAGACAUAGCAAGAAAAGAAGCCAUGAGUCACUUUUACCAGGGAACAAUUCCUUUGGUGUGGAGCUGGAGAAAGCAUUCUAACUGCGAUUAGCAUGCAGAAAGAGUCUUUCCUUCUUGAAGUAUGUGUUUGCAGUAGAUUGCCCAAAAGUAGAGCUGAUUCAAUAAUGGCAAUAAAGUAGAUGACUUGGUGUCUGCUGAAGAUUGGGGCUUAGAUGAGAGCUCGCUUGCUGCAGCUCUGUUUGGCUAAGACAAACUAAUGUCUACAAAUUGCUCAAAUCUGCCAUCAGAAGUGAUAGGAAUAGUCCCUGCAUUUAUGAC